RNAcentral lists this ribosomal RNA (492 nucleotides) under uncultured bacterium. RNAcentral describes it as "partial 16S ribosomal RNA". It matches the Rfam family "Bacterial small subunit ribosomal RNA", at positions 30 to 507 of the family's 1533-position model. The record is from RNAcentral.
AUUGAACGCUGGCGGCAUGCUUUACACAUGCAAGUCGAACGGUAACAGGCCUUCGGGUGCUGACGAGUGGCGAACGGGUGAGUAAUGCAUCGGAACGUGCCCAGAGGUGGGGGAUAACGCAGCGAAAGCUGUGCUAAUACCGCAUGUGAUCUGAGGAUGAAAGCGGGGGACCAAGCAGCAAUGUUUGGCCUCGCGCCUCUGGAGCGGCCGAUGUCAGAUUAGGUAGUUGGUGGGGUAAAGGCCUACCAAGCCGACGAUCUGUAGCUGGUCUGAGAGGACGACCAGCCACACUGGGACUGAGACACGGCCCAGACUCCUACGGGAGGCAGCAGUGGGGAAUUUUGGACAAUGGGCGCAAGCCUGAUCCAGCAAUGCCGCGGGCGGGAAGAAGGCUUUCGGGUUGUAAACCGCUUUUGUACGGAACGAAAAGUCUCUGGCUAAUACCUGGGGCUGAUGACGGUACCGUAAGAAUAAGCACCGGCUAACUACGUG